AACAAUUAUUCGCUAAGUAAUUUAGCAAAAUCCACGAGCUUAUGUGUGAUGUUUUCUUCAGUAUCUUAAGGAAUUUUCAUUACUCGUAUUUCAACAGAACAGAGCUCACCGGGAGGUGAUAGGCCCUUUAAGAAGCGUUUAAUAGGGUACAACUGGAACAGGGCAUGUUGCUAUUCCGGGUAAACCAGGAAUGUGAGGGUGACUCCCACGCUCCAGACACCUGGCUAAGCUCUCGUCCAACGUUGGGACGCCAGGCUCCGCACAGUGCGCCGUGGCAGAGGCUGCAACGCGGCCCCGGCGCCAGACUUUUUGUUGUCUCUGCCAACAGUGCUACAGAAGACGGACCUCUUCCCCCCUCAAUGUGUGUGUGUGUGUGUGUUGAGGGGGAGGCAAACUUCUUUGAGAGCCACUGGGCUGAAAGAAAGAUGAGAAUGAAAUUAGCCAGGAAAGAAGAGGACAGGGGGUUGGAAGACUAGAAAGACCAGUCAUCCAGAGCUGAGGAAGAGCAUGGGUCCAGUGGGAGUACAUAGCAAUGGGAAAGUGCCAGAAUAUGGAUGACCGAGGAGAGGAAGUGAGGAGAUCAAGAUGCUGUCUCAGAAACUCAUUGGAAACCAGUUUGGAUUUAUCCAUGCUCAUGCAGCAUAUGUGUACUAGAACAGAACUAUGGGUGGUGAAUAAUUCCACAGUCCAAAGUGAAAUGCUGCCAUCUAUAAAGAACUGGAAAAGAUCUUGCAAACUGAAGACCCAAACCCUACUGGAGGAUAAAAUGAGUUUGAAGAGUCUGAGAGAUAUUUUUCUUUUUAGAAAUUAGUUUCCUGUGAGUCUCACUUUUAAUUCCCUAGGAGAGGUCUGUGAUGUACUGUUCUGUGUGCAGAGCUUGAUUCCUAUAUCUAGGUUCAGGUAGCAGGUGGGCUACUGUUGGAGCCAUGCCUGAAAAUCCAAAGGAAAAGGUACUGGGAUGACUAGUUUGGAAGGCCAAGAGAUAAGAGAUAAGUUUUCUGGGAACAAUCUUUACUCACAGUCAGGAUGGAGGCUGUAAGCCCUGAGGACAAGAAGUGGACCACCAGUGCAAAGAAGUCAGCCUAGAGGAAUUGGGGACUUUC
This is a long non-coding RNA of Tupaia belangeri chinensis (Chinese tree shrew), 1103 nucleotides long. RefSeq lists it as uncharacterized. The record is from RefSeq and is a predicted model, not a curated record. The transcript is spliced from 3 exons. Lineage: Eukaryota; Metazoa; Chordata; Mammalia; Scandentia; Tupaiidae.